GUGCACUUCCGAUCUGUUCAUGUACGUGCAGGUAGGAACGAGACAAUAGAAAUAACAGUCGCACGGGCAGACGGCCGACGCGGCAGCUGUAGCGCUCCGUUGCCUUCUACCAAGAAAUGCUGUACAGUAACCGAAAUAAUCUGAAUUUCGGCAUGAAAAUUUCAGGGAAUAUUCGGAAGAGUGUAUACUAUUCGAUAAAGCAAAAAAAAAAAAAUCGAUUUUUUGAAAAUUUCACACUGGAAAGCU
RNAcentral lists this long non-coding RNA (246 nucleotides) under Neodiprion pinetum (white pine sawfly). Its description in RNAcentral is "uncharacterized LOC124220526". Lineage: Eukaryota; Metazoa; Arthropoda; Insecta; Hymenoptera; Diprionidae. The record is from RNAcentral.